GGCGCAGUCUGGUAGCGCACCUCGUUCGGGACGAGGGGGUCGCAGGUUCAAAUCCUGCCACUCCGACCA
This 69-nucleotide transfer RNA is filed under the name Rhodobiaceae bacterium. Its description in RNAcentral is "tRNA-Pro". It matches the Rfam family "tRNA", at positions 9 to 71 of the family's 71-position model. From Rfam's summary of the family: Transfer RNA (tRNA) molecules are approximately 80 nucleotides in length. Their secondary structure includes four short double-helical elements and three loops (D, anti-codon, and T loops). Further hydrogen bonds mediate the characteristic L-shaped molecular structure. tRNAs have two regions of fundamental functional importance: the anti-codon, which is responsible for specific mRNA codon recognition, and the 3' end, to which the tRNAs corresponding amino acid is attached (by aminoacyl-tRNA synthetases). tRNAs cope with the degeneracy of the genetic code in two manners: having more than one tRNA (with a specific anti-codon) for a particular amino acid; and 'wobble' base-pairing, i.e. permitting non-standard base-pairing at the 3rd anti-codon position. Lineage: Bacteria; Pseudomonadati; Pseudomonadota; Alphaproteobacteria; Hyphomicrobiales; Rhodobiaceae. The record is from RNAcentral.